Molecule: unclassified non-coding RNA, 1656 nt
Filed under: Venturia canescens
Lineage: Eukaryota; Metazoa; Arthropoda; Insecta; Hymenoptera; Ichneumonidae
Description: uncharacterized LOC122418630, transcript variant X1
Source: RNAcentral
UCGAUAACUAAGUAGAAGAAAAUUUCGAAAAAAAUUGUGUUUUUGCACUUGAUGUUGAACAACAUUAUCACCAAGUUUGAUCAAUUUCUUAAUAUUUAGACUUUUGUACCGAAACUCCUUAAGAGCUAAGCUGCAGAAGUCUUGGCCAAACUCCACUUCCGAAUAUAUCGUGACUUUUCAAAUAUCAUCGAUUUUCGAUUCAGCAACAUCGAAGUCUCUUAUUAACUCUACGUUGACGAUCAAUUUUUUUAUCUUUCGUCUAAUUGCUUUUGCGUACGCGCGGAGCUUGAGAAACUUUAUUGGUAAUUGGAGCUGUUGGAUGUGAUGGAGGGAGAGCCAAAUAAGCGAACCAUACACGAGUAUGGGUUAUGCAAAUUUAAACAUAGCUGCUUACAUUUUUUUCUUUCCCCUUGUUAUUCCGUCGUUUCCAAACGAUAUUCCCAUUCUUCUGUACAUACAUUUAUGAAUAUCUAUCAGGGUGUGCACAAAAACAGCGAUAUUUUUAUUGCUUGGAUCCACCAAAAAAUUCAUUCAUAAUUAGAAAAAAGCCUUGGCAAGAAGAGCUUGUAAUGAAAUUAUUUCAGUAAGCCCACUGCGUUUGGAGAUUUUCCAAAGGAAUAACCCAGAAAAAUAAUAGGACGUCUGAAAAUUGAUCCACGAUUCCGAAGUAGCCGUUUAUCGUUUUUUUAAAAACCACUCAACGGGGAUAAGGAUAACGAUGAGGAAGAAGACGGCGAUGGAGAGAAGGACAAGAGCGGGUACAGAGAUGAGGACGAGGACAAGGACGGAGACGAAAACGAGGACAACGACUGGAACAAGAUCGAGAAGGAAUACGUUGACAAGGACGCGUGCGAGCGACAAUGAGACAACGUUCAAAUAAUAAAUCGUCCAGGAUACACGUUUUUAUUAACAAUUUCCACAUUGUUGUUGAAACGGUUACCGAUCUACGAUGCUUUUUAUUAUAAAUAAAAAGAUCUCCGGCUUGUGAAGUCCUAAAAUAAGCUCAUUAAAAUACUUUGCUUUUGUCGCAAAUCUUCCGAAAUCUUCGUACCCUAGAAACAACAUACAACGAAUUCGUCAAUUAUAUUUUUGUUUCCAUUAUUCCUGAAACAAUGUUUGCUCCAUUUGGGCCGCCCGAACAGCGCUCCAGCAACGUAUAAUUGACUAUUGGGAGCCUCUGUCUUGUAAUAUGGUCAUGGUCAUCUUGGCGAAUCACCUGAGGGGCCUCGCACGGUCCUUAUUGUUAAGCUUCACUCGUACCUGACUCAUCGUACAGUGGUUCUCACAGUUUCACUUGGGCCCAUUCGUGAGGAUUCUUCCAUCGUCUUGCCUGGCCCAAAAGUUGUUAGUUUCUCAAUUUAUAAAUACAUCCAGAUAUACCGAAUGCACUGAUAUUUCGAUUAUGAAUUUGAUGUUGGCUCAAGACGAGUCAGAGCUUCGUUAGUCCCAGUAUAAUUGCACGAGGCCUUGGCAAUUUGCUUCGACCCACGUGUCAAAAGUUUAAUUUCAUUUAUUUUUGUCUUUCUGGAGAGCCAACGACGUGUCGAGCAACGUGGGGGAUGAAAGGAGCUUGACUGCGUCGAUUUUCGUUGGCGGUUGAGCGCGUUGCCCUCUUCCCAUGCGUACAUUCGGAUGGGCAUUUGCUGUCGAAUUGAU